RNAcentral lists this transfer-messenger RNA (264 nucleotides) under Gammaproteobacteria bacterium. Its description in RNAcentral is "partial transfer-messenger RNA". It matches the Rfam family "transfer-messenger RNA", at positions 1 to 274 of the family's 374-position model. From Rfam's summary of the family: Bacterial tmRNA, also known as 10Sa RNA or SsrA, is named for its dual tRNA and mRNA-like properties. Its role is to liberate the mRNA from a stalled ribosome. To accomplish this part of the tmRNA is used as a reading frame that ends in a translation stop signal. Lineage: Bacteria; Pseudomonadati; Pseudomonadota; Gammaproteobacteria. The record is from RNAcentral.
GGGGGCGACCUGGCUUCGACGCGGGUUACAAAACCGGAGGUGCAUGCCGAGAUGCAGAAUCUCGUAAAUACUCUGCAAAAACUUAUAGUUGCCAACGACGACAACUACGCUUUAGCUGCUUAAUAACCAGCUCGAAGCCUUCGGCCUGAGGUGUGCCUGUACGCGCAGAUAACCGGAGUCAUCCCAUACAGGAUCGCGCUGAAACUUGUUCGGGGUGGAUGCGUUAAACUCUUACCGGAAUCGCUUUUGGUUUUCCCUGCCUGU